AGGGCUAAUACAUGCAAGUCGAGGGGCGCACGGGUAUCCAUACUGGGUGGCGACCGGCGCACGGGUGCGUAACACGUAUACAAUCUGCCUAUAUCAGGAGGAUAGCCCGGAGAAAUUCGGAUUAAUACUCCAUAACAUAGUUAAAUGGCAUCAUUUGAUUAUUAAAGUUCCGACGGAUAUAGAUGAGUAUGCGGAUGAUUAGCUAGUUGGUAGUGUAACGGACUACCAAGGCGACGAUCAAUAGGGGUACUGAGAGGUUAAACCCCCACACUGGUACUGAGACACGGACCAGACUCCUACGGGAGGCAGCAGUAAGGAAUAUUGGACAAUGGUGGCAACACUGAUCCAGCCAUGCCGCGUGCAGGAUGAAGGCGCUAUGCGUUGUAAACUGCUUUUGUACGAGAGAAAACCUAUCUACGUGUAGAUAGCUGAUAGUAUCGUAAGAAUAAGCAUCGGCUAACUUCGUGCCAGCAGCCGCGGUAAUACGAAGGAUGCAAGCGUUAUCCGGAUUUAUUGGGUUUAAAGGGUGCGUANGCGGACUUAUAAGUCAGUGGUGAAAUCUCGUUGCUUAACAACGAACGUGCCAUUGAUACUGUANGUCUUGAGUACAGAUGCCGUUGGCGGAAUGUGUCAUGUAGCGGUGAAAUGCAUAGAUAUGACACAGAACACCGAUUGCGAAGGCAGCUGACGAAACUGUAACUGACGCUGAGGCACGAAAGCGUGGGGAUCAAACAGGAUUAGAUACCCUGGUAGUCCACGCCCCAAACUAUGAAUACUAGCUGGCCGCGAAAACAAACCCGGUAACCCAGCCGAAGCGAAAAGAAUCCACCUGGGGAGUACGCCCGCCAGGGUGGAACUCAAAGGGAAUGGCGGGGGGCCCCACA
This 884-nucleotide ribosomal RNA is filed under the name Bacteroidetes bacterium enrichment culture clone CTBE CDB1001B01. RNAcentral's name for it is "bacterial SSU rRNA". It matches the Rfam family "Bacterial small subunit ribosomal RNA", at positions 44 to 927 of the family's 1533-position model. The record is from RNAcentral. Lineage: Bacteria; Pseudomonadati; Bacteroidota.